Molecule: long non-coding RNA, 2213 nt
Filed under: Mus spicilegus (steppe mouse)
Lineage: Eukaryota; Metazoa; Chordata; Mammalia; Rodentia; Muridae
Source: RNAcentral
GACAGGGUCUUGGUAUGUAGCCCAGCCUAGCCUGGAACUCCAGAUCCUCCUGCCUCAGGUUGACUAUUUAGCCCAGAGUCACUGCAGCUAGUGAAGGACCCAGGGGCUGGAAUAGAAUCACAGGUCCUGUGCUUACUUUCUUUACAGUGCCUCCUCAGGCCCAUCAAAGUCUUCCAGGAUCACGCAGAGGACCAUGCCACAGUCGGAAGUGAGCAACAGCUCUGCAGAGCCACCUUUGGAUCGUCAAUCAUCUGCCUUCCCAGGACCACCCAGCAGUGAUGCACGUACAGCAGAGGCGCAGUGAUGCACAUACAGCAGAGGCGACCCCUUCUCCAUACUUCAGAGACCUCUAGCAUGGUGUUGUGGGACAGCUGGUGUUGUGAAUCAGGCCGUUGCCAAUCAGAGAACGGCUACUUCACAACACCAGGGCCACACUGCACUACAAGCAGCGAGCAGCAAGCAACAAGCAUCCAGACACCUGAGCACCAGGAUGCCAGCAAGAGCACCUGCCUUCCUUGCAGGACUCCUCCCGCUGGCUCCAGACCACUUCUGCUUACUCUCCAGCUCCUGCCCUAUGGUGUAACUGAGGCUGCUGUUUAUUGUAACACAAAGCUCAACUUCAGAAGAAAGCACCAACUCCAGGCAGCAUUAGCUUCCCACAAAGGCAACAGAACAAACAGGUCUCCCAGGGUGAGGGAAGAAGAUGUUCUCAGGCCCUUAGAAAGGCUGAGCACUCUUAAUUGAAUGUCUCCUCAGAGGGUCUGGAAACACACGGAGACUAUAGAACCAGGCCCUUUCCCUUUGUUUCCUUUCCUUUUAUUUUUCUAUUACUUUUUUUUUUAAGUGUGUAUAUGUGUGGGUGUGAAUGUGUGUGCAUGUGUAUGGGGGAUGUAAAACCAGUUUUAAUUAAACUCUAAUUAUUUAUGUAUGUGUAUUGCCUAUGUGAGUUUAUGUGUACCAUGUGUGUAGGCGCCUGAGCAGUUCUGAAGAUGGGUGUCGAAUCUCCUGAAACUAGAGCUGUAGGGGUUAUGAACAGCCAUGUGAGUUCUGGGAACUGAACCUCUGCAAGAGGGAAAAACCAUCCUUAAACCUCAUAACCUGCUCCUCAGCCCCACAUCUAUUUACUUAUUUAAGUGUCUCUGUGUAUGCAUGUUAGUGCUAUAACACACCAGUAGUGCAAUGAUUCUCCAUCCGGGGAUCAUUGACCCAGCAAAUGACCCUUUCAUAGGGGUUACCCUAAGACCAUCAGAAAACAGAGAUAUUUAUGUUAUGGUUCUUAACAGUAGCAAAAUUACAGUUAUGAAGUAGCAACAAAAAUAGUUUUAUGGUUGGGGUCACCACAACAUGAGGAACUGUAUACUAAAGGGUUGCAGCUUUAGGAAGGUUGAGAACCACUGAUGUAGAGGUCAGAGAACAACUAGCAAGAGUUAGUUCUCCCCUUCUAUCAUGUGGGUCCUAGGUUUGGCCACACGCACCUUCACCUGCUGAGCCAUCUCACCAACCAUCCCGCUUAUUUUCUUAGUAGAGUCUUAACUGAGCUGGGACCUCAUGAAUUCAGCUAGAGUGGCUGGUCAGCAAGCCCUGGGGAUCCUCUUGACUCUGCCUCCCAGAAUGUGUGCCCCCAUGCCUGACUUUUAGGUGGGUGCUGGGGAUCUAACUCAGGUUGUCAUGCCAACAAACACUGGGCCAUCUCUCCAGCUCUUUGUUUUGAUAUUAGCAAUGGUAUCUUUGUCUUGGGCAGUGGAGAAGGGAGAAGCUGGUCAAAGGGUUAUGGUCUUAGAUGGUAACUCCACUGUAGCCUUCCUAGAGCUCCCCUGUAGGGGCAGCUUGUGUUUGUGUCCCAAAUGGUCCCAGAUUCCCUAAGCAGCUGAUUCCAUCCUUUAAGAGCAAUAUUUUCACUGGGCACAUGCGCACAUGUGCACAUGCCUGUCUGUGACAAAGACUGACCAGAGCCAAGCAGGGAGAUGUCGGAGGCUCCUGUAGAUCAUACAUGUUGUUACUUGUGUUGGCAAGUGGUUUCCUAGCCUCAGGUCAUAGCCAGAGUCCCUUUAGACUUGAAGACCUAAGGUCUCCUGAACUUCAAUAUUUUUGUGUCUAACAAAAUUACUUGUGGCACCAUUUUUCAGAGCCCAGGCAGACUCUUAAAAGCUGCAUCGCACCUUUCUGACAUACUAAGGAAAAAUAAAGAUCCCCCUCUCUGCCUUUGUGUAGCA